This 1999-nucleotide long non-coding RNA is filed under the name Struthio camelus australis. Its description in RNAcentral is "lncRNA (ENSSCUG00000002312.1)". Lineage: Eukaryota; Metazoa; Chordata; Aves; Struthioniformes; Struthionidae. The record is from RNAcentral.
AUGGUGUGUUUGUUUCCCUCUCAGGCACCUUUAAGAAAAAUUCGGUCUGAGCUUCCUGGUCUGGUGGGACAGCAUGUGUAUAAGUGGAAGAAGAGUAUCUUCUGCAUCUCAUGUGCCGCACAGCUGUACUGUUUUUCCCCCCGAGCAAGAUUACCUCUGAGCGGAGGGGAGGCCUGCCGCGCUCCACCCCGCAGCCAACCGCCAGCACCCGACCCAGCUGGGAGCGCUGCGGGGGCGAAGGGGAGGACACCCGCACGCUCCAGUGCCGAUGCGGUUGCAGAAGUUGCAUCCCAGGAUCUAGAAUGGAAAUGCACCCAGCAUUUAUUUUGCAUUCGCCUCCAGGUAAAGUUAUAUGCCAGAGCAGCAGUAAAGGAGCCCGCCAGCUUCCUAACAAGCUCCCCGCCAAAGGCUCCUUCACCCUGCGCUGUGCAUGAGGUACGUAUAAGGCAGAUGACCCUUGGAUUUCAAAUCCCUAAUGUGUGGAAAAAGAAUGAGCUUGGGCUGAGAUGGGGAGGCUGGAUAUUUACCUCUCACAGAAAUGGUUAGGAAUUAGACUUGUAAACGUUGUCAAAAUCCUGUACCAGAAAGCCUGGGGCAGAGCGGUUUCCUGCGGAUCGCGCCGGGUAGCUGUGGCAGAGCAGGGCUGGCCGUAGCUUUUCUAAGAGCUGGUCUGCUGGCCAAGCCAAGGAGUCGUUCACGGAGGGUAACACCCAACCCCGCAGUAAAGCUGAGACUAAAGGAGCAGUGGGAGCUGGGUGAUGUGAUUUAUGGAACAUGGGUGACAAGAGGGAUCCUCCACCCGUCUAUGUCCAGACUUCACGAUUCUCAAUGGAGAGGUAGCGCUUGUAUGGAUAUUUUUUUUUAAAUGGGCAGAGGGAAAGGCCUUCAGCUGCUGCACGUGAAGUGCGUGCAUUGUGCCAAGCGCUUACGGCAGGCUUUGCUUGGAGCUCUCCUCUCCCUGGCGCUUGAAUCAGACCAGCAGAGAAGGUCUGCGGUGGGGAAGCCCUGCUCGGGCGCUGGUGACGAGGGAGGGCUGCCGCAGAAAUCUGCCUCGGGCGGAUGCCAGUGAGCCCCGGGGAGGGAGCGGGGCCGAGGUGCCGUGUUCGGGCAGGGAAGGUCGAUAACCACAGGAUGGAGCGUGGCUUUGUGGAAGGGAAGAGAGGGAGGGUGGUGAGCGAGACCCUCUUAUCUGCUUCCUUGCUGCUCUGUCUGCUUCCUUCCAUCAGCGUAUCGUGACCUUUCCAUGCCCACCAGUACUCAACAGUCCUUCCAGGCCCAGCUUUUUGGGGGCCCAGCUUUUUUGUUUUCCCUUGCUACCUGCUGCUCUUUUAAACUCCUCCAGCGCCGCUCCCCUCCCAGCAGCCUGCGGCUCCCGGACCUCGGAUUCAUCCCCUUUCCCUUCCCCACCUCUUCUCAUCGCUGCCUACCUGUGCGGUCCUAUCUCCCUCCAUCCUAGAGAGACCAGCUCUAAGGCAGACCCUUUCUCAUUUCCUUCCCUGCUUGCUUCCUCCCUUUUCCCCAUCAAACCCAGAACCCGUUAGCUCCCUUUGCAGUGGCUAACCCAGGCGUAUCACAUUGGUGCGCAGCCUUCGCUGAGCCAGGGAUACGCUGGCUCCCUGAUAACAAGCACCCAGCCACCGUCCAGCGUCCCGGCCCGUAGGCAGCACGCGUGCCUCCCGCUGCGCCCUCUGGGCUGCAAGGGGUUAAGGCAGGGCUGAAGGCUGCUGUGCAAUGGUAGGGUACCAGGCUGAAAAGCUGAAAAGGCUAGUAACAAAAAACCAGCUGCUUCUCUGUCUGUAGCCUUGAGAUUGCAAUGCUUGUUGCAAGUUGUUUCUGUUUCUCAUAAAUGCUUCUCUUACAGAAAGGAAGUUUGGUUGAAGCACAUGGAGGAAAAUAAUGUGAAAAAUGUUGAAACUCUGCCCAGCUGGCAUGAGGUAAUACUAGUGAGUGCUCUGAUCUGCAGGCUACAAUAAAUAUAUCCUGGGAUGGGCCGUUUACA